UGCCAGACUCCUACGGGAGGCAGCAGUGAGGAAUAUUGGUCAAUGGCCGGAAGGCUGAACCAGCCAAGUCGCGUGAGGGACGACUGCCCUAUGGGUUGUAAACCUCUUUUAUAAGGGAAGAAUAAAUGCUACGUGUAGCAUGAUGCCUGUACCUUAUGAAUAAGCAUCGGCUAACUCCGUGCCAGCAGCCGCGGUAAUACGGAGGAUCCGAGCGUUAUCCGGAUUCAUUGGGUUUAAAGGGUGCGUAGGUUGUUUUAUAAGUUAGCGGUGAAAUACCGAUGCUCAACAUCGGGGCUGCCGCUAAUACUGUAGGACUAGAGAUCGGAUGCAGCAGGCGGAAUGUGUAGUGUAGCGGUGAAAUGCAUAGAUAUUACACAGAACACCGAUUGCGAAGGCAGCUUGCUAGGCCGGAUCUGACACUGAUGCACGAAAGCGUGGGGAUCGAACAGGAUUAGAUACCCCCGUAAGA
This 469-nucleotide ribosomal RNA is filed under the name uncultured bacterium. RNAcentral's name for it is "partial 16S ribosomal RNA". It matches the Rfam family "Bacterial small subunit ribosomal RNA", at positions 329 to 794 of the family's 1533-position model. The record is from RNAcentral.